GAUGAACGCUGGCGGCGUGCCUAAUACAUGCAAGUCGAGCGAACAGAUAAGGAGCUUGCUCCUUUGACGUUAGCGGCGGACGGGUGAGUAACACGUGUGUAACCUACCUAUAUGACUGGUAUAACUCCGGGAAACCGGGGCUAAUGCCGUAUAACAUUUAGAACCUCAUGGUUCUUAUGUGAAUGAUGUUUUUACUAUCACUUAUAGAUGGACCCGCGCGGUAUUAGCUAGUUGGUAAGUUAACGGCUUACCAAGGCAACGAUACGUAGCCGACCUGAGAGGGUGAAAGGCGAAACUGGAACUGAGACACGGUCCAGAGGACUACGGGAGGAAGCAGAAGGGAAUAGUACGAAAUGGGCGAAAGCAUGACGGAGCAACGCCGAGUGAGUGAUGAAGGUGUUCGGAUCGUAAAACUAUGUUAUUAGGGAAGAAAAAAUGUGUAAGUAACUGAGCACGUAUUGACGGUAACUAAUCAGAAAGCCACGGCUAACUACGUG
This 497-nucleotide ribosomal RNA is filed under the name uncultured bacterium. RNAcentral describes it as "partial 16S ribosomal RNA". It matches the Rfam family "Bacterial small subunit ribosomal RNA", at positions 28 to 507 of the family's 1533-position model. The record is from RNAcentral.